Molecule: ribosomal RNA, 460 nt
Filed under: uncultured Treponema sp.
Lineage: Bacteria; Pseudomonadati; Spirochaetota; Spirochaetia; Treponematales; Treponemataceae
Description: partial 16S ribosomal RNA
Rfam family: Bacterial small subunit ribosomal RNA
Source: RNAcentral
ACGGAAGGCAGCAGCUAAGAAUAUUCCGCAAUGGACGAAAGUCUGACGGAGCGACGCCGCGUGGAUGAUGAAGGCCGGAAGGUUGUAAAAUCCUUUUAAGUGUGAAGAAUUAGCGAGGGCAGGGAAAACCCAUGUGGGGAAGGUAGCACUUCAAUAAGCAACGGCUAAUUACGUGCCAGCAGCCGCUGUAACUCGUAAGUUGCGAGCGUUGUUCGGAAUUAUUGGGCGUAAAGGGCAUGUAGGCGGUUUUGCAAGCUUGGUGUGAAAUUCCGGAGCUCAACUCCGGAACUGCGUUGAGAACUGCAUAACUAGAGUCACUGAGGGGCAAUCAGAAUUCCAGGUGUAGGGGUGAAAUCUGUAGAUAUCUGGAAGAAUACCAAUGGCGAAGGCAGGUUACCAGCAGAUGACUGACGCUGAGGUGCGAAGGUGCGGGGAGCAAACAGGAUUAGAUACCCUGGUA